CCUGGCGGAGCUUGAUAGUUAAGCAUCUCUUUUACACAGAGCUGAUAUUUGUGCAAAUCAAAUUGCCUUGA
RNAcentral lists this transfer RNA (71 nucleotides) under Patiria pectinifera. It matches the Rfam family "tRNA". From Rfam's summary of the family: Transfer RNA (tRNA) molecules are approximately 80 nucleotides in length. Their secondary structure includes four short double-helical elements and three loops (D, anti-codon, and T loops). The record is from Rfam by way of RNAcentral. Lineage: Eukaryota; Metazoa; Echinodermata; Asteroidea; Valvatida; Asterinidae.